This 105-nucleotide ribosomal RNA is filed under the name Streptomyces thermocarboxydus. Its description in RNAcentral is "partial 23S ribosomal RNA". It matches the Rfam family "Bacterial large subunit ribosomal RNA", at positions 2820 to 2925 of the family's 2925-position model. The record is from RNAcentral. Lineage: Bacteria; Bacillati; Actinomycetota; Actinomycetes; Kitasatosporales; Streptomycetaceae.
AUGAGAGGGUAAGGCUCCCAGUAGACGACUGGGUUGAUAGGCCGGAUAUGGAAGCACGGUAACGUGUGGAGUUGACCGGUACUAAUAGGCCGAGGGCUUGUCCUC